This 514-nucleotide ribosomal RNA is filed under the name uncultured bacterium. RNAcentral's name for it is "bacterial SSU rRNA". It matches the Rfam family "Bacterial small subunit ribosomal RNA", at positions 1 to 518 of the family's 1533-position model. The record is from RNAcentral.
AGAAUUGAUCUGGUCAGGAUGAACGCUGGCGGCGUGCCUAAUACAUGCAAGUCGAACGAGAGUGCUUGCACUCUAGUGGCGAACGGGUGAGUAACACGUAGGUAACCUGCCUUACAGUUUGGGAUACCCUGGCGAAAGCUAGGCUAAUACCGAAUAAUUGGAUUGGAGGCAUCUCCGAUCUCUAAAAGGGGCCUUUAAAGCCUCGCUGAAUGAUGGACCUGCGGCGCAUUAGCUAGUUGGUGAGAUAACAGCCCACCAAGGCGAGGAUGCGUAGCCGACCUGAGAGGGUGAACGGCCACACUGGAACUGAGACACGGUCCAGACUCCUACGGGAGGCAGCAGUAGGGAGUUUUCGGCAAUGGGGGCAACCCUGACCGAGCAACGCCGCGUGAAUGAAUGAAGGUCUUCGGAUUGUAAAGUUCUGUUAUAAGGGAAAAAUGAUAUGGUGAGGAAAUGCUCCAUAUUUGAUGGUACCUUAUUAGAAAGCCACGGCUAACUACGUGCCAGCCGCCGC